AUGCUCUCUUUCAAUCUCUUUCUGUCUCUCUUCUUCUCUUUCGAUUUGUUUUUGUCUCUUUUCCAUUAUCUUUCUUUCAAUCUCUCUCUGUCUCUCUUCUCUUUCCAUAUUUUUAUGUCUCUUUUCAAUUAUCUUCCUUUUGAUCUCUCUCUGUCUAUCUUUCUCCCUCUCCCUUUCUUCCUCUUCCAUCUCUAUUUGCUUCUGUUUACAUCUUUCUUCUUCACGAUCUCUUUCAAUCUCUCUCAGUCUCUCUUUCUUUCCAUAUUUUUAUGUCUCUUUUCCAUUAUCUUCCUUUUGAUCUCUCUCUGUCUAUCUUUCUCCCUCUCCCUUUCUUCCUCUUCCAUCUCUAUUUGCUUCUGUUUACAUCUUUCUUCUUCACGAUCUCUUUCAAUCACUUUCUGUCUCUCUUCUUCUCUUUCGAUAUGUUUUUGUCUCUUUUCCAUGAUCUUUCUUUUGAUGUCUCUCUGUCUCUCUUUCUCCCCAUCUCUUUCUUCCUCUUCCAUCUCUAUGUGCUUCUGUUUGCGUCUCUCCUCUUCUUCUUCUCUCUCCAUCUCCUUCUUCUUCUCAUCUUCUUCUUGUCUCUGUUUUGGUAUUUUCUCCAUUCUCUUGCUUUCUACCUCUUUCUGUUUGUUGUGCUCACCCUCCAUCUUCUCCUCCAUGUCCAUUUGGUUCUGUUUCCAUUUAUAUUUGUCUGUUUCCAUAUUUUCUAAUUCAAUCCGCUGUUCCUUGAUUUUCUUGAAGACUUCCUCCAAUUCAGACGUCUUUUUGUCAUUGAUGAGGGCUGUCUCCAGCUCCAUCUCUCUCUCCACUCUCUUUUUCAUCUCCUCUUCACUUUGUCUCCAAUCAUUUCCUCUCUCUCUGUCUCUAUCAAAUGUUCUCUCUGGUUCAGUCUCGUCUUUCAAUCUAAUCUCUUCUUUCAUUCUCACAACCUCUCUGUCUAACACUAGUACAUUUUGGUUAACCUGUUUCACUCUCUCAUUCUGUCUUCUAAACACUUCUUUCGCUCUUUCAAAUUUGAUUUUGUAUUGA
This 1029-nucleotide long non-coding RNA is filed under the name Oncorhynchus kisutch (coho salmon). RNAcentral's name for it is "lncRNA (ENSOKIG00005005756.1)". The record is from RNAcentral. Lineage: Eukaryota; Metazoa; Chordata; Actinopteri; Salmoniformes; Salmonidae.